Molecule: ribosomal RNA, 205 nt
Filed under: uncultured bacterium
Lineage: Bacteria
Description: partial 16S ribosomal RNA
Rfam family: Bacterial small subunit ribosomal RNA
Source: RNAcentral
CGUAGGCGGUUUAUUAAGUCAGAUGUGAAAGCCCCGGGCUUAACCUGGGAACUGCAUUUGAUACUGGUAGACUAGAGUAUGGUAGAGGGGGGUAGAAUUCCUAGUGUAGCGGUGAAAUGCGUAGAUAUUAGGAGGAAUACCAGUGGCGAAGGCGGCCCCCUGGACCAAUACUGACGCUGAGGUACGAAAGCGUGGGUAGCGAACA